AUCGGGUCAAAGACGCUUCAGCUCAGAAAAACCCCCAGUCUAAAAGCAGAGCAGACCAAAGGGGAUGCCAUCGCCACCCCCCACCCCCUUCCAGAAAACACGGGCUUGGUUUUUAACGAAAUUACCCUUCCGUCCCGCGUCCUUCGCUUUCACACCUACUCACUUCGCUCGUGGUAAUUUCGUCCAAUAAAAAUUAGUUACCUUUUACCGCCGGCGGGUCUGAAGUCGAGACCAG
Molecule: long non-coding RNA, 235 nt
Filed under: Elaeis guineensis (African oil palm)
Lineage: Eukaryota; Viridiplantae; Streptophyta; Magnoliopsida; Arecales; Arecaceae
Description: long non-coding RNA (EGUI_LNC026950)
Source: RNAcentral